CUGUAUUUACUCAUCUUUCCCUAAUAAUAAAGUACGGAUCGACUCCAUGGGUUCACCGUCACAAUACGCUUCUUCCCGUGAAUUUACGCUUUCAGUUUGAAUUUAAAACAUAUACGCGAGGUGGUACUAAAAAACCGUUUCGUUCGCUGGUGACAAUUGUUUCUGAGCGUUUUUGUAAAAAACCCUUGUACUGUUUGCUAUUCAACCCGCAGUGCUGUUUUAAGCGGUCAACGGAGAAAAUGUUUCAUUGUAAAGAAAAACACUAGCAGACACGAAGACGGACAUCUCCUCCCGGAUGCGUACGGGCAUGGCGCCGCCGCCUCCACGCGCGAGCCAGCGGAUCAGGGAGGGGGUGCUCCCCGGGUGGACAGCUGCCUCGCCUUCACCCCCUCCUUUCCCCCAUGCAGGAACGAGCUAGGGUUGGAGCCGCCGCCUCUCCGGCCUGCCCACCGGUGCUCCAUCCGCCCCUCUUCUCCAUCAUCUACCCCCACCACUACUCCUCCCAGGCCCAACCAUGGUGGAUGACAUGCUCCCGGCGCUCCAUCCUCCCCUUCUCCAUACUCCCUCCCUAUUCCGUCCCCCACCCCUACUCCCCACAGGUCCAUGGGGAGUGAGCGUGCGCGGGCGGCAUUGGUGGACGAGUUGGGGUUGCGUGAUGGACCUGAAGUACUGCCUCCCGGCACCUCCAUCGUCGUCACGGCUACCAACUUCUUUGCCCCCCUGCCCCAAGUACUACUUUUCAGCAGAUGCGGCCGAGGUAAUUGGUCAAGGCGAGAAUGAUAUGCCACUGUUGAUGCUGGAGGUUGUGGCAAUUUUCUAUGAUAGCUCAAAUUGGUUGAUGAUGCAGCGCAAGUAGCACAAGUCAUCAUGUCCACUGCCUAGCAUUGAAUACCAGGUUCAGUCUUCAUGAUUUCUUACUUGAUCCAUGAUUUCUUACUUGAUCUAUAACUCAUUACUUUUAAAAUCUGGGUAUCAUAGAGUUGGUGUAUAUCAAUCAUGUAAGGGGGCAAGGAACCAAACUGUGUAAGACGGACUUGUACUAACCUGUACUCAUAUUAGUCCAACGCUUGUUGAAUAUUGCUUGGAGAUUUGCGCUUUCAAAGAAAUGAAAAUCAGUCUGUCUAA
Aegilops tauschii subsp. strangulata is the source of this 1125-nucleotide long non-coding RNA. RefSeq lists it as uncharacterized. NCBI's taxonomy places the organism in Eukaryota, Viridiplantae, Streptophyta, Magnoliopsida, Poales, Poaceae. The record is from RefSeq and is a predicted model, not a curated record.